This 293-nucleotide ribosomal RNA is filed under the name uncultured bacterium. RNAcentral describes it as "partial 16S ribosomal RNA". It matches the Rfam family "Bacterial small subunit ribosomal RNA", at positions 775 to 1067 of the family's 1533-position model. The record is from RNAcentral.
GGAUUAGAUACCCUGGUAGUCUACGCUGUAAACGAUGUGCACUUGGUGUUGGGGUUUCUAAGCCUCGGUGCCGUAGCUAACGCGUUAAGUGCACCGCCUGGGGAGUAUGCCGGCAACGGUGAAACUCAAAGGAAUUGACGGGGGCCCGCACAAGCGGUGGAGCAUGUGGUUUAAUUCGAUGAUACGCGAGAAACCUUACCAGGGUUUGACAUAUUUAUGAUCGUCUUAGAGAUAAGAUUUUCCCUUUUGGGACAUUUAUACAGGUGCUGCAUGGUUGUCGUCAGCUCGUGCCG